Magallana angulata is the source of this 1110-nucleotide RNA transcript. RefSeq lists it as uncharacterized. NCBI's taxonomy places the organism in Eukaryota, Metazoa, Mollusca, Bivalvia, Ostreida, Ostreidae. The transcript has 2 exons. The record is from RefSeq and is a predicted model, not a curated record.
UUUAAUCAUGAAAUUAAAGUAUACCCUUGCACGUGAUAUUUUGAUCAGUCAUUAACAACCAAUUUUUAUUGGACGCUGUAUACAGACAAUCACUGUAUUGUGUAUAUCGUCUGAGCAUUAUGACAUACAUUUGUGUCUAUCAAAAUUUGCUUCUUUGGUCAUUCUGUACCUGACGAGGAUACUGAUUACACAAAAAGUCGCUUUUUCGAUAAUUUUAAGUUUUAUGAAUUGUUUUAAUUUUAACGACAAUUGAUUUGGUUUGAAAUUCCCUGUUAAUAAUUGUAGGCCAAACCAGUUGGGAGGGUGCGUAAGGGAUUUAAUUUCACGCGUGAUUAACCUAGUGGCCGUGUUUGACGGUUUUAUGUUUGCAAACAUAUCAUUUUUCAAAAAGUAAUUUAGACAAUUUCUAAGGAGACAAGUACCUAACGAUCUCUGUCAUCCCUUUCUCACGAUGAAGUUUUAAGAUAGUGAUAAUGUAUAUCAAAUUCCGACGAAAUUUGACAGCAGGAGUACCAAAUAUAAUUACCAAAAAAAUGAACAAAAAUAUUAAAAUAUUUUUCUAAAUUUCUUUAAAAUUAUAAUGAGCACAUGAAUUUUCAAAGCUGUAUUAAAACCGAAGAAAACGCUCAAUAAAAUUGUUUUUGGAAUAUAUUCACAAGGAUUAAAACAUGACAAUUAAACAUAAAACAACUCAAGGAACUCAAGAAACAGAAAAAAGAACAAGAUGGAAACAAAGAAGAUGACCGUGCUAGUACUAGUACUACCCAAGAUGUUGAAGAGGUGAUUCAAGAAGAAACAGUGCAAGAAGGAAGGGAACAAGAUGAAAUCGAAGGUGACCAUGCCAGUACUAGGCAAGAUGUUAAAGAUGUGAAGAUAGAACCUAUGGACAUUGAUGAGGACGAGGUCAUAACUGAAAAACUUGUGUCACGAAAACGUAUUUUAGAAGAGCAGGCGAGAGAACUCCCAAGAAGAACAAGUUCGGUUAGAGUACAAAUAUUCUGAAAUUCAAGAGUAAUUGGAGGACAUUUUUUAUCUUAAUAUAUAGUUGGAAAUCUUAUAUAUAUACAUGUAUGUAAGUCCCUUUUUUAAUCCAGGUUUCGUAAUUAUCAC